GAACUGGGCUCCCGGGCGGGCUGGGAGGCGCCGCAACGCAUUCCCGACCCGGCCCCCAGACCGGGCAGUGAGGCAAAUAACAUGAAUAACUAGGAACGAUUCGAAUUGAUGUUCUAGCAAGCAUUUAUGGAAACCUCACUGGAAACUGUGUUAAACGCUUGACAUUGAUUAACGCAUUUAAUCUUCCCAACAAUCUUUUGAGGAUACCCAUCACUGGAUGUAGGGGCCACCCGAAAACCAGGAAGAUCUCUUCUUGUGAUCCUUCACUUAAUUAUAUCUGCAAAGAUCCUUUUUCCAAAUAAGGUCACGUUCACAGGGUCUCGGGGUUAUGACUGGGACAUAUCUUUUGGGGGCCGCUAUUCACUGCUCUGUGAAUGUGUCUGGCACUGUGCUAAGCACCCUACGUAGGUCAGUUAGUUAAUUCUCAGAACAGGUGUGAAGUGAG
Cervus elaphus (red deer) is the source of this 445-nucleotide long non-coding RNA. RefSeq lists it as uncharacterized. The transcript is spliced from 2 exons. The record is from RefSeq and is a predicted model, not a curated record. NCBI's taxonomy places the organism in Eukaryota, Metazoa, Chordata, Mammalia, Artiodactyla, Cervidae.